Molecule: ribosomal RNA, 254 nt
Filed under: uncultured bacterium
Lineage: Bacteria
Description: partial 16S ribosomal RNA
Rfam family: Bacterial small subunit ribosomal RNA
Source: RNAcentral
UACGAGGGGGGCAAGCGUUGUUCGGAAUUAUUGGGCGUAAAGGGCUCGUAGGCGGCCAACUAAGUCAGACGUGAAAUCCCUCGGCUUAACCGGGGAACUGCGUCUGAUACUGGAUGGCUUGAGUUUGGGAGAGGGAUGCGGAAUUCCAGGUGUAGCGGUGAAAUGCGUAGAUAUCUGGAGGAACACCGGUGGCGAAGGCGGCAUCCUGGACCAACACUGACGCUGAGUGAGCGAAAGCCAGGGGAGCAAACGGG